Molecule: ribosomal RNA, 252 nt
Filed under: uncultured bacterium
Lineage: Bacteria
Description: partial 16S ribosomal RNA
Rfam family: Bacterial small subunit ribosomal RNA
Source: RNAcentral
UACGUAGGUCCCGAGCGUUGUCCGGAUUUAUUGGGCGUAAAGCGAGCGCAGGUGGUUUAUUAAGUCUGGUGUAAAAGGCAGUGGCUCAACCAUUGUAUGCAUUGGAAACUGGUAGACUUGAGUGCAGGAGAGGAGAGUGGAAUUCCAUGUGUAGCGGUGAAAUGCGUAGAUAUACGGAGGAACACCGGUGGCGAAAGCGGCUCUCUGGCCUGUAACUGAUACUGAGGCUCGAAAGCGUGGGGAGCAAACAGG